Molecule: ribosomal RNA, 438 nt
Filed under: uncultured bacterium
Lineage: Bacteria
Description: partial 16S ribosomal RNA
Rfam family: Bacterial small subunit ribosomal RNA
Source: RNAcentral
CUACGGGUGGCUCCAGUGGGGAAUAUUGCACAAUGGGGGAAACCCUGAUGCAGCGAUGCCGCGUGAACGAAGAAGGCUUUCGAGUCGUAAAGUUCUGUUCUUAGGGAAGAAAAUGACGGUACCUAAGGAGAAAGCACCGGCUAAAUACGUGCCAGCAGCCGCGGUAAUACGUAUGGUGCAAGCGUUGUCCGGAAUUACUGGGCGUAAAGAGUUCGUAGGCGGUCAAAUAAGUCAGGAGUGAAAGGCUACGGCUCAACCGUAGUGAGCUUUUGAAACUGUUUGACUUGAGUACUGGAGAGGAAAGUGGAAUUCCUAGUGUAGCGGUGAAAUGCGUAGAUAUUAGGAGGAACACCAGUGGCGAAGGCGGCUUUCUGGACAGUAACUGACGCUGAGGAACGAAAGCGUGGGGAGCAAACAGGAUUAGAUACCCCGGUAGUC